UGCUCUGCGCACGGUAAAGUACUUUUGGCGAAGAUUAAGUGUAGUAUCUGUUCCUAUCAGUUUAAUACCUGAUCUGUCCUCGAUAUGAGGACGCUGCAUCAAGCGUCUUUUUGGAGGAGGGAGGCGGGUUGGAGCCUGGCUCCGUCCCGUCCUCGCAUCGGCCUGGCAUGGCAGUGCUUCCAGGACUCGUCCCCGAUUA
Ornithorhynchus anatinus (platypus) is the source of this 199-nucleotide small nuclear RNA. RefSeq annotates it as U2 spliceosomal RNA. Lineage: Eukaryota; Metazoa; Chordata; Mammalia; Monotremata; Ornithorhynchidae. The record is from RefSeq and is a predicted model, not a curated record. The transcript has a single exon.